This 416-nucleotide unclassified non-coding RNA is filed under the name Hevea brasiliensis (rubber tree). The record is from RNAcentral. Lineage: Eukaryota; Viridiplantae; Streptophyta; Magnoliopsida; Malpighiales; Euphorbiaceae.
AUGAUAUCUUAUUUAUUAAGGAUAAUUUAAAUGUUGUUUCAAAUGAAUAGCUACAUAGUUCACAUGUAGAAGUAAGCAGCGCCGGUGAAGCAGAGAUAGGAUGCUACUUUUACACUUGUUAUUUUGAGUUGCAAAGUUUACUGUUGUUGGAUCAAAUGCAAGUCCAGUGCUUAAUAGAGUCACAGUUUAGAGUUUACCAAUGAAAAAUAACAUUACAUACUUGAAGAUUUUGAAGGGGCCUAGCUUGUACUUUUGUUCCAUGUAUUUGAUAAUUUGAAAUUAUUGUUUUAUCAUGUAAUGAGAUUGCCCACCCCAUCCAACUGCCUGAAACAUUUGGGUACUCAAAUUCAACACCAACCCCUCCUCUCCCCCAAAACCAAACCCCCCCGGAUCUCCCUCCUCUCCCCCAAAACCAA